Molecule: ribosomal RNA, 484 nt
Filed under: uncultured bacterium
Lineage: Bacteria
Description: partial 16S ribosomal RNA
Rfam family: Bacterial small subunit ribosomal RNA
Source: RNAcentral
AUUGAACGCUGGCGGCAGGCCUAACACAUGCAAGUCGAGCGGAUGAAGGGAGCUUGCUCCUGGAUUCAGCGGCGGACGGGUGAGUAAUGCCUAGGAAUCUGCCUGGUAGUGGGGGAUAACGUCCGGAAACGGGCGCUAAUACCGCAUACGUCCUGAGGGAGAAAGUGGGGGAUCUUCGGACCUCACGCUAUCAGAUGAGCCUAGGUCGGAUUAGCUAGUUGGUGGGGCAAAGGCCUACCAAGCCGACGAUCCGUAACUGGUCUGAGAGGAUGAUCAGUCACACUGGAACUGAGACACGGUCCAGACUCCUACGGGAGGCAGCAGUGGGGAAUAUUGGACAAUGGGCGAAAGCCUGAUCCAGCCAUGCCGCGUGUGUGAAGAAGGUCUUCGGAUUGUAAAGCACUUUAAGUUGGGAGGAAGGGCAGUAAGUUAAUACCUUGCUGUUUUGACGUUACCAACAGAAUAAGCACCGGCUAACUUCGUG